GCCGGGCGUGGUGGUGCAUGUCUGUAAUCCCAGCUACUCGGGAGGCUGAGGUGGGAGGAUGGCUCGAGCCCAGGGGGCGGAGGUUACAGUGGGCCCAGAUCACACCACUGCACUCCAGCCUGGGUGAUAGAGCCAGACCUUAUCUCAA
Pongo abelii (Sumatran orangutan) is the source of this 148-nucleotide unclassified non-coding RNA. It matches the Rfam family "Metazoan signal recognition particle RNA". From Rfam's summary of the family: The signal recognition particle (SRP) is a universally conserved ribonucleoprotein. It is involved in the co-translational targeting of proteins to membranes. The eukaryotic SRP consists of a 300-nucleotide 7S RNA and six proteins: SRPs 72, 68, 54, 19, 14, and 9. Lineage: Eukaryota; Metazoa; Chordata; Mammalia; Primates; Hominidae. The record is from Ensembl.